This 790-nucleotide long non-coding RNA is filed under the name Actinidia chinensis (golden kiwifruit). Its description in RNAcentral is "long non-coding RNA (ACHI_LNC006649)". Lineage: Eukaryota; Viridiplantae; Streptophyta; Magnoliopsida; Ericales; Actinidiaceae. The record is from RNAcentral.
AAUGUCAAAAUCCCGAUACGUAAUUGCUGAUACAUAACGUAUUGACCAAUCUUUAGAAUAUUCUUCCAGAUGAAUAUUUGCUACGGAAUUGAGAAGAGCAUUGAUCUCCAUGUCACUAAGGCUGUUUGGUUCAAGGAUUUACGGACGGAUUUAUUAUGUGAGAGGAAAAUAGUAGAAAAAACUUAGCAUCCCUUCACAAAUCAUUGAUCUGAAUACAGCGUGAAAGAAUGAUAUUUCACAUAGAUGCCCAUAGGAAGGGAACUAAAGAGCAUGCCUUUCCAUAUAAGAGAUGGGAAAACCUGAUGUACAGUGUCUGCAGGGAGCACCUUGGCAAGUCCAAGUUUUGUUCAUAUUGCAAGAGAACACCAUUAGUGCCGCUUCUACGUAUAGAUCUGAAUAUGCACCAGCAAGACAAAAGAACAACACAAACAAUUAGCUACCGGAAAGGAAAUAAAUAGGAUUCUCCUACAAACAAGUCAUUCAAGUACUUACGUUAUAUUAUUGUAUGAUUAUAGAAAUAAAUUGAUGGAGUUGGAAAACAGUUGCAAAUUUAAUUAAAGAUUUAAAAACUGCCUCUCUUCUUCAUAGUUUAUGAAAACUUGCCUAUCGUUCUGGGAAGAUCCUAUGGUUUAUUUGUACGUGUAGUGAUCGCUUUUAUGGAGAGAGACCAAACAUGCACAAAGUGAUUGCCGCUCUCAAUAGUCCAUUAUAUUAAUUAUUUGUAAAUGGGCAAAGAAAGUAACUGUGGGGUUGUGAGUAUUUGAAUGGAAGAAGAGAAAUCAAAAAUAAA